AGCCCCGUAGUGCAGAUGGCUAACGCGCCUGACUGUCUAUCAGGAGAUCGCGGGUUCGAGUCCCGUCGGGGUUGCCA
Molecule: transfer RNA, 77 nt
Filed under: Blautia sp.
Lineage: Bacteria; Bacillati; Bacillota; Clostridia; Lachnospirales; Lachnospiraceae
Also listed under: 3 other names
Description: tRNA-Asp
Rfam family: tRNA
About the family: Transfer RNA (tRNA) molecules are approximately 80 nucleotides in length. Their secondary structure includes four short double-helical elements and three loops (D, anti-codon, and T loops).
Source: RNAcentral